Molecule: ribosomal RNA, 377 nt
Filed under: uncultured bacterium
Lineage: Bacteria
Description: bacterial SSU rRNA
Rfam family: Bacterial small subunit ribosomal RNA
Source: RNAcentral
UAACACGGGGGGAGCAAGCGUUGUUCGGAAUCACUGGGCGUAAAGGGCGUGUAGGCGGUCAAGUAAGUGGAAUGUGAAAGCCCCCGGCUUACCCGGGGAUCUGCAUCCCAUACUGCUUGGCUUGAGUACGGGAGAGGAUGGAGGAAUUCCUGGUGUAGCGGUGAAAUGCGUAGAUAUCAGGAGGAACACCGGUGGCGAAGGCGUCCAUCUGGCCCGAUACUGACGCUGAGGCGCGAAAGCUAGGGGAGCGAACGGGAUUAGAUACCCCGGUAGUCCUAGCCGUAAACGGUGAGCACUAGGUGUUGGAGGCAUCGACCCCUCCAGUGCCGCAGCUAACGCAUUAAGUGCUCCGCCUGGGGAGUACGGCCGCAAGGUUG